UACGUAGGGGGCAAGCGUUGUCCGGAUUUAUUGGGCGUAAAGAGCUCGUAGGCGGCUCGGUAAGUCGGAUGUGAAACCUCCAGGCUCAACCUGGAGACGCCAUCUGAUACUGCCGUGGCUUGAGUCCGGUAGAGGAGCAGGGAAUUCCUGGUGUAGCGGUGAAAUGCGCAGAUAUCAGGAGGAACACCGAUGGCGAAGGCAGUGUUCUGGGCCAGUACUGACGCUGAGGAGCGAAAGCGUGGGGAGCAAACAGG
RNAcentral lists this ribosomal RNA (254 nucleotides) under uncultured bacterium. Its description in RNAcentral is "partial 16S ribosomal RNA". It matches the Rfam family "Bacterial small subunit ribosomal RNA", at positions 524 to 776 of the family's 1533-position model. The record is from RNAcentral.